This 253-nucleotide ribosomal RNA is filed under the name uncultured bacterium. Its description in RNAcentral is "partial 16S ribosomal RNA". It matches the Rfam family "Bacterial small subunit ribosomal RNA", at positions 524 to 776 of the family's 1533-position model. The record is from RNAcentral.
UACGGAGGAUGCAAGCGUUCUCCGGAAUUACUGGGCGUAAAGCGUCUGCAGGUGGGCUAUUAAGUCCUUUGUUAAAGCCUAAGGCUCAACCUUAGAAAAGCAAAGGAAACUAUUAGUCUUGAGGAUGGUAGAGGUAGAGGGAAUUUCCAGUGGAGCGGUGAAAUGCGUAGAGAUUGGAAAGAACACCAAUGGCGAAAGCACUCUACUGGGCCAUUACUGACAAUCAGAGACGAAAGAUAGGGGAGCAAAUGGG